CCUGCCCACUGAUUAAUUAAAUGGCCGCAGUAUUUUGACUGUGCAAAGGUAGCAUAAUCAUUAGUUUUUUAAUUAGAAGCUUGUAUGAAGGGUUGGACGAGGUAAAAUCUGUCUCUAUUUAAUUUAUUUUAGAAUUUAAUUUUUAAGUUAAAAAGCUUAAAUUUUAGUAAAAGACGAGAAGACCCUAUAGAUCUUAAUAUUUUUUUAAUUAAUUUUAUUUAGGAUUUUUUUAUUUUUUAUUUGAGAAAUUAUUUUAUUGGGGUAAUAAAGAGAUUGAAUUAAUUCUUUUUUUUCUGUAAUAUAAAUUAAUAGUUAUUUGAUCCAAUUAUUUUGAUUAUAAGAUUAAGUUACCUUAGGGAUAACAGCGUAAUUUUUUUAGAGAGUUCAUAUCGAUAAAAAAGUUUGCGACCUCGAUGUUGGAUUAAAAAUUAUUU
RNAcentral lists this ribosomal RNA (434 nucleotides) under Copelatus sp. MB 787. Its description in RNAcentral is "partial 16S ribosomal RNA". The record is from RNAcentral. Lineage: Eukaryota; Metazoa; Arthropoda; Insecta; Coleoptera; Dytiscidae.